UAAGCUUGAUAUUGUAAUCAUUAUCAUAAAAUAACCCCCUUCAGGGUGAUCCAAGACCCUUGUCUGGGUUUAUUUUAUGAUGAUUACUGUAUGUUAUCUCCUGCUGUACUGCAUUUUUCCUGUUCAAACUGUACUCUUUCUGUAUACCAGAUCUUAAAAACACCAUCCAUUUUGUCUACUGUACAUUUAUGAUAUGUCAGUGCACAGCAACUGAUAAAGUGGUAAUUUUCAGUGUCUCUUUCUCACUCUGUGUAGAGGUGCAGUGUGAUGUACGUUGGAUGUCCCUGUCCAGCGGCAGCUCUCUGGUCUGUCUGUGGCUGAGUGGGAGUCAUCUCCUGCUCCACCACCAGGAGGCGCCACCGAGCACAGUGUCUCCCACAGUGAGGACAGGAGCCCCAGGACAGGAAGCCUUUGCCUCCAGUCUCGCUGAGGCAGUUCGUUCAGAUGCCUUGCGCUCCUCUGUGCACUUGGAGCAGUCUGGGGCAUGUGAGGGUUACUUUGCAGAAGACUAUCGUCCGCUGUGCUCUAUUGGAAAGGGAGCCUUCGGCUUUGUCUGGCUCGCUGCAAGAAGGAAAGAUGAACAGGAAGUGGUUGUGAAGUUUAUUAGGAAAAGUGCAGUGGUGAGUGAAGCGUGGUGGAUGAUCCUGAUCUGGGCCGGGUCAGUCAAGAAGUGGCUAUACUGGUUCGCCUGCAACAUCCCAAUAUUGUGAAGGUACGUUGAGAGAACCGUUUGAGUUCAUAUUAAAUAAUGCAACAUAGCCUCUUUAAAAAAAAGAGUCGAAUGUUGUUGUCGAAUGUCAAUUUUAAUCUGUUCACAUGCUUAAAAACCUUGUACCUCAUUUUAAAUGACAGUUUUACUGUACUAUUUAUCUUGUUCAAAAAUGCACAACAAUGCAAAUGUUACUAGUCGGUAAGAAUCUAUUUAAACUUUACAUUUUAAUUUAAUUUCAGCAAGGAUGCAUCAAAUUUGAGACAAUGCGAUUUGUAAUGUUACUAUUUAUUUUUCAAAAUAAAUAAAUCCUGGAAAAUCUGUUUUAUUAAAGUGCCACUAUUAUGGAUUUUUGACAAGGG
This 1071-nucleotide long non-coding RNA is filed under the name Carassius auratus (goldfish). RNAcentral describes it as "lncRNA (ENSCARG00000005528.1)". The record is from RNAcentral. Lineage: Eukaryota; Metazoa; Chordata; Actinopteri; Cypriniformes; Cyprinidae.